UACGGAGGGGGCUAGCGUUGUUCGGAAUUACUGGGCGUAAAGCGCACGUAGGCGGCUUUGUAAGUUAGAGGUGAAAGCCCGGGGCUCAACUCCGGAAUUGCCUUUAAGACUGCAUCGCUAGAAUUGUGGAGAGGUAAGUGGAAUUCCGAGUGUAGAGGUGAAAUUCGUAGAUAUUCGGAAGAACACCAGUGGCGAAGGCGACUUACUGGACACAUAUUGACGCUG
Molecule: ribosomal RNA, 225 nt
Filed under: uncultured bacterium
Lineage: Bacteria
Description: partial 16S ribosomal RNA
Rfam family: Bacterial small subunit ribosomal RNA
Source: RNAcentral